Molecule: ribosomal RNA, 266 nt
Filed under: uncultured Staphylococcus sp.
Lineage: Bacteria; Bacillati; Bacillota; Bacilli; Caryophanales; Staphylococcaceae
Description: partial 16S ribosomal RNA
Rfam family: Bacterial small subunit ribosomal RNA
Source: RNAcentral
CGGCGGACGGGUGAGUAACACGUGGGUAACCUACCUAUAAGACUGGGACAACUUCGGGAAACCGGAGCUAAUACCGGAUAAGAUAUUGAACCGCAUGGUUCGAUAGUGAAAGAUGGUUUUGCUAUCACUUAUAGAUGGACCCGCGCCGUAUUAGCUAGUUGGUGAGGUAACGGCUCACCAAGGCAACGAUACGUAGCCGACCUGAGAGGGUGAUCGGCCACACUGGAACUGAGACACGGUCCAGACUCCUACGGGAGGCAGCAGCC